UGGGGAAUAUUGCACAAUGGGCGCAAGCCUGAUGCAGCAACGCCGCGUGAGGGACGACGGCCUUCGGGUUGUAAACCUCUUUUGGCAGGGUAGAAGCGAAAGUGACGGUACCUGCAGAAAAAGCACCGGCUAACUACGUGCCAGCAGACGCGGUGAUACGUAGGGUGCAAGCGUUGUCCGGAAUUAUUGGGCGUAAAGAGCUCGUAGGCGGUUUGUCGCGUCUGCUGUGAAAACCCGAGGCUCAACCUCGGGCCUGCAGUGGGUACGGGCAAACUAGAGUGCGGUAGGGGAGAUUGGAAUUCCUGGUGUAGCGGUGGAAUGCGCAGAUAUCAGGAGGAACACCGAUGGCGAAGGCAGAUCUCUGGGCCGUAACUGACGCUGAGGAGCGAAAGCAUGGGGAGCGAACA
This 407-nucleotide ribosomal RNA is filed under the name uncultured bacterium. RNAcentral describes it as "bacterial SSU rRNA". It matches the Rfam family "Bacterial small subunit ribosomal RNA", at positions 355 to 774 of the family's 1533-position model. The record is from RNAcentral.